Molecule: ribosomal RNA, 486 nt
Filed under: uncultured bacterium
Lineage: Bacteria
Description: partial 16S ribosomal RNA
Rfam family: Bacterial small subunit ribosomal RNA
Source: RNAcentral
AUUGAACGCUGGCGGCAUGCCUUACACAUGCAAGUCGAACGGCAGCACGGGUGCUUGCUCCUGGUGGCGAGUGGCGAACGGGUGAGUAAUACAUCGGAACAUGUCCUGUAGCGGGGGAUAGCCCGGCGGAAGCCGGGUUAAUACCCCGUACGGACUACCUGCGACAGCGGGGGGGCUUGAGGCCUCGCGCUGUAGGGUUUGGCGAUGGCGGAUUUGCUCGUUGGUGGGGUAAAGGCCUACCAAGGGGACGAUCAGUAUCGGGUCUGUGAGGGCGACAAGCCACACUGGGACUGAGACACGGCCAAGACUCCUACGGGAGGCAGCAGUGGGGAAUGUUGGACAAUGGGCGAAAGCCUGAUCCAGCAAUGCCGCGUGUGUGAAGAAGGCCUUCGGGUUGUAAAGCACUUUUGUGCGUAAAGAAAUCCUUGGCCCUAAUACGGUCGGGGGAUGACGGUACCGGAAGAAUAAGCACCGGCUAACUACGUG